GAUGAACGCUGGCGGCGUGCCUAAUACAUGCAAGUCGAGCGAACAGACGAGGAGCUUGCUCCUCUGACGUUAGCGGCGGACGGGUGAGUAACACGUGGAUAACCUACCUAUAAGACUGGGAUAACUUCGGGAAACCGGAGCUAAUACCGGAUAAUAUAUUGAACCGCAUGGUUCAAUAGUGAAAGACGGUUUUGCUGUCACUUAUAGAUGGAUCCGCGCCGCAUUAGCUAGUUGGUAAGGUAACGGCUUACCAAGGCAACGAUGCGUAGCCGACCUGAGAGUGUGAUCGGCCACACUGGAACUGAGACACCGUCCAGACUCCUACGAGAGGCAGCAGUACGGAAUCUUCCGCAAUGAGCGAAAGCUUGACGAAGCAACGCCGCGUGAGUGAUGAAGAUCUUCGGAUCGUAAAACUCUGUUAUUAGGGAAGAACAAAUGUGUAAGUAACUAUGCACGUCUUGACGGUACCUAAUCAGAAAGCCACGGCUAACUACGUG
RNAcentral lists this ribosomal RNA (497 nucleotides) under uncultured bacterium. Its description in RNAcentral is "partial 16S ribosomal RNA". It matches the Rfam family "Bacterial small subunit ribosomal RNA", at positions 28 to 507 of the family's 1533-position model. The record is from RNAcentral.